RNAcentral lists this ribosomal RNA (598 nucleotides) under uncultured bacterium. Its description in RNAcentral is "bacterial SSU rRNA". It matches the Rfam family "Bacterial small subunit ribosomal RNA", at positions 331 to 929 of the family's 1533-position model. The record is from RNAcentral.
CCAGACUCCUACGGGAGGCAGCAGUGAGGAAUAUUGGUCAAUGGGCGAGAGCCUGAACCAGCCAAGUCGCGUGAAGGAUGACUGUCUUAUGGAUUGUAAACUUCUUUUAUACGGGAAUAACAAGAGUCACGUGUGGCUCCCUGCAUGUACCGUAUGAAUAAGCAUCGGCUAACUCCGUGCCAGCAGCCGCGGUAAUACGGAGGAUGCGAGCGUUAUCCGGAUUUAUUGGGUUUAAAGGGUGCGUAGGCGGCCUGUUAAGUCAGCGGUGAAAUCUAGGAGCUUAACUCCUAAAUUGCCAUUGAUACUGGCGGGCUUGAGUGUAGAUGAGGUAGGCGGAAUGCGUGGUGUAGCGGUGGAAUGCAUAGAUAUCACGCAGAACUCCGAUUGCGAAGGCAGCUUACUAAGGUACAACUGACGCUGAAGCACGAAAGCGUGGGUAUCAAACAGGAUUAGAUACCCUGGUAGUCCACGCAGUAAACGAUGAUAACUGGGCGUAUGCGAUAUACAGUAUGCUCCUAAGCGAAAGCGUUAAGUUAUCCACCUGGGGAGUACGCCGGCAACGGUGAAACUCAAAGGAAUUGACGGGGGCCCGCACAAG